RNAcentral lists this ribosomal RNA (1450 nucleotides) under Mesoplasma florum. RNAcentral's name for it is "16S ribosomal RNA". It matches the Rfam family "Bacterial small subunit ribosomal RNA". The record is from RNAcentral. Lineage: Bacteria; Bacillati; Mycoplasmatota; Mollicutes; Entomoplasmatales; Entomoplasmataceae.
GAUAAACGCUGGCGGCAUGCCUAAUACAUGCAAGUCGAACGGAGGUGCUUGCACCUCAGUGGCGAACGGGUGAGUAACACGUAUCUAAUCUACCUUCUAGCGGGGGAUAACUUUUGGAAACGAAAGGUAAUACCGCAUGUGGAUGUUAUUAUCGCAUGAGAAAACAUUCAAAGAUCCGUUUGGAUCACUAGAAGAUGAGGAUGCGGCGUAUUAGCUAGUAGGCGGGGUAAAGGCCCACCUAGGCGAUGAUACGUAGCCGAACUGAGAGGUUGAUCGGCCACAUUGGGACUGAGAUACGGCCCAGACUCCUACGGGAGGCAGCAGUAGGGAAUUUUUCACAAUGGACGAAAGUCUGAUGAAGCAAUGCCGCGUGAGUGAUGACGGCCUUCGGGUUGUAAAGCUCUGUUGUAAGGGAAGAAAACAUAGGAGAGGAAAUGCUCUUAUCUUGACGGUACCUUACCAGAAAGCCACGGCUAACUAUGUGCCAGCAGCCGCGGUAAUACAUAGGUGGCAAGCGUUAUCCGGAUUUAUUGGGCGUAUAGGGUGCGUAGGCGGUUUCGCAAGUUUGAGGUUAAAGCCCGGAGCUCAACUCCGGUUCGCCUUGAAAACUGCGGGACUAGAAUAUCAGAGAGGUAAGCGGAAUUCCAUGUGUAGCGGUAAAAUGCGUAGAUAUAUGGAAGAACACCAGUGGCGAAAGCGGCUUACUGGCUGAUUAUUGACGCUGAGGCACGAAAGCGUGGGGAGCAAAUAGGAUUAGAUACCCUAGUAGUCCACGCCGUAAACGUUGAGUACUAAGUAUUGGGGAUUACCUCAGUGCUGCAGCUAACGCAUUAAGUACUCCGCCUGAGUAGUAUGCUCGCAAGAGUGAAACUCAAAGGAAUUGACGGGGACCCGCACAAGUGGUGGAGCAUGUGGUUUAAUUCGAAGCAACACGAAGAACCUUACCAGGGCUUGACAUACAGUGCAAAGCUACAGAGAUGUAGUGGAGGUUAACAUUGAUACAGGUGGUGCAUGGUUGUCGUCAGUUCGUGCCGUGAGGUGUUGGGUUAAGUCCCGCAACGAACGCAACCCUUGUCGUUAGUUACUAACAUUAAGUUGAGGACUCUAACGAGACUGCUAGUGUAAGCUAGAGGAAGGUGGGGAUGACGUCAAAUCAUCAUGCCCCUUAUGUCCUGGGCUACACACGUGCUACAAUGGCCGAUACAAAGAGUCGCAAUCUCGCGAGGGGGAGCUAAUCUCAAAAAGUCGGUCUCAGUUCGGAUUGAAGUCUGCAACUCGACUUCAUGAAGCCGGAAUCACUAGUAAUCGCGAAUCAGCUAUGUCGCGGUGAAUACGUUCUCGGGUCUUGUACACACCGCCCGUCAAACCACGAGAGUUGGUAAUACCAGAAGUACGUUUCCUAACCGUAAGGAAGGCGCGUCCCAAGGUAGGACUAGCGAUUGGGGUUAAG